GAAGAGACAUUGUGAAGUCUUGCUAAAACCGUCAUCGAUAGUUUUCAAAAACUAUCGAUACGGGCGACAGUUCUCAACUAUCAAUACUAUCAAUAGUAUCCCAGCUCUACACAAUAGCACUCCAUUGUUCCGAUAUGAAAAGUUGGCAUAUUCAAUGAUCAUGAUAUGAAAUAAUGAACUGUUUGGAAUUUGAAAAUUUACUCAUUCCUCGCAUGUAUAGCGGACUCCUUUUAUGAGCUUAUAAGCUAUCUCACCUACCAUAAUUUUCCACUUAAAAUUAUUUUGCCAGACUAGAUUCAGAGUGGAAAUAGUACAAACUCUACGCUCAUCCAGCAACCCUGCCAAUCAAAACGCUAACUUUUUCAUCAGCAAGUACAUUUGUUGAUCAACUUCAAAGCCGUGCAAGUUGUUGGCAUCACCUUGUAGACGCAUCAGCAGGCCACCGAAGGAAACGUACGCUGAUAAUCUGGAAGACGCUUCAUUAUGAGCUUCAUCGCCUUCGAUUCGAUACACUUUUCCAAACAUAACAUAUUCGAAGCUAUCCGCACGUGUGCCUUCCUGUUCCAGCGGGUUAAAUUCGCCACUGUCCGGACAGCCGUCUUCUCGCAAAGUUGUAGCCAGCACCAAGCGGAAUUUAUCACCUAAUUCCAUGGGGUAUAA
Long non-coding RNA from Rhagoletis zephyria (snowberry fruit fly), 660 nucleotides. RefSeq lists it as uncharacterized. The record is from RefSeq and is a predicted model, not a curated record. NCBI's taxonomy places the organism in Eukaryota, Metazoa, Arthropoda, Insecta, Diptera, Tephritidae.